Molecule: non-coding RNA, 564 nt
Organism: Paramuricea clavata
Lineage: Eukaryota; Metazoa; Cnidaria; Anthozoa; Malacalcyonacea; Plexauridae
Source: the annotation of a GenBank genome assembly
GCCGUACGUGAACUAUUAUAAAUGGAAAAAAUUGCGUUAAUGCUAAUGUUUUUCUGUUGGAUAACUAGAACCAAUUAUCUUCUGUAUUACCAUGCAGAUAUAUAUUUUUCUUUCCGAUAUUAUAUCUUUGUAUUGUUGUACAUUAUAGUGAUAUACAGAAAUUUGUAGAACGAUUGUACGCUACAAAAUUUAACCCCCUCAAUUGUAAUAAAUUGAUACGAUCAAUUGAGGGCCACGAAGUCAUCAGUGUUAGUUUACUACUGUAAAGUGUUAGCCUCGUUAAAUAAAGCCUAUAAUAAUAAUAAUAAUAAUAAUAAUAAUAAUUAUACGAAAACAUUUUUUCUUCCGGCACAAUCAUAUAUCUGAAAGUUUUCAUCGCCUCUCAUUGUCCUUGUGUUUUCAUGCUUUGCAGUUUUUAAGGCGGAUCUCCACCGGACGAUUUUCGAGACGAUCGUCAAAACAGUUCGCGACGACACGUGCGCAAUUGAAACAAAAUGUUCGAAGAGCGAUCGUCUAGCGCUGGACGAAAAGUAGGAUUGACUUCUACUUUUCGUCGAGCGCCAG